RNAcentral lists this ribosomal RNA (255 nucleotides) under uncultured bacterium. RNAcentral's name for it is "partial 16S ribosomal RNA". It matches the Rfam family "Bacterial small subunit ribosomal RNA", at positions 524 to 776 of the family's 1533-position model. The record is from RNAcentral.
UACGAAGGGGGCUAGCGUUGUCCGGAAUCACUGGGCGUAAAGGGCGCGUAGGCGGUCUGCUAAGCGUGUGGUGAAAGCUCGGGGCUCAACCCCGAGUCUGCCAUGCGAACUGGUGGACUGGAGCACUGUAGAGGCAGGUGGAAUUCCGGGUGUAGCGGUGGAAUGCGUAGAGAUCCGGAAGAACACCAGUGGCGAAGGCGGCCUGCUGGGCAGUUGCUGACGCUGAUGCGCGACAGCGGUGGGGGAGCAAACAGG